AACGAACGCUGGCGGCAGGCUUAACACAUGCAAGUCGAGCGCCGUAGCAAUACGGAGCGGCAGACGGGUGAGUAACGCGUGGGAAUCUACCCAUCACUACGGAACAACUCCGGGAAACUGGAGCUAAUACCGUAUACGUCCUUCGGGAGAAAGAUUUAUCGGUGAUGGAUGAGCCCGCGUUGGAUUAGCUAGUUGGUGGGGUAAUGGCCCACCAAGGCGACGAUCCAUAGCUGGUCUGAGAGGAUGAUCAGCCACACUGGGACCGAGACACGGCCCAGACUCCUACGGGAGGCAGCAGUGGGGAAUAUUGGACAAUGGGCGCAAGCCUGAUCCAGCCAUGCCGCGUGAAUGAUGAAGGCCCUAGGGUUGUAAAGCUCUUUCACCGGUGAAGAUAAUGACGGUAACCGGAGAAGAAGCCCCGGCUAACUUCGUGCCAGCCGCCGCCGUAA
Molecule: ribosomal RNA, 449 nt
Filed under: uncultured bacterium
Lineage: Bacteria
Description: partial 16S ribosomal RNA
Rfam family: Bacterial small subunit ribosomal RNA
Source: RNAcentral